GGACGCGGGCUGCGGGAGGGAAGGAAGUGGGGGGCUGGGGCCGGCCGGACUGACGCAGCUGUGAUGUCAGAGUCAGGCCGCAGGCGGUGGCCGGCCGGUGCUACUGGUGUGCUCUCGGCUGGCCUGGCCCAGCGCCUCCCCAGGGGGGCCCGCCGCCCCCCUUAACCCCUUCCCGGCCUCCCUUUCCCAGACAGCCAUCCCCCGGGCCUGGCCUUGCCCACAAGAUUCCCAGAUUUCACAACUGGGGCUGGCGCUGAAUCAUGUACAGUAAAGUCCGGGGAGAGAAACUGCUGGCUGCCCGCGUCCCAGGACAGGCCAACCGCCAGGCUGCCCGCCCUCCUGACGCGCUGAGCGACUGCCAGGGAGCCAGCCAGCCGCACGCCGGGCGGCUGACCAGCUUGGGGGCAUCAGGCAGGACACACCACCUCUCUGGGCUGCACUGGGAAUCAGGGGCGGUGUCAUCUUUUGGGGACCUUGAAGCUCUGGAGGUCAGGGGGCAGGGCAUGGUGGCCUCUGCUGACCGGGAGCAAGUCCCUUCACCUCUCUAAAGCACACUUUCCUCAUCUGGAGAAUGCGGGUCAGCAUGGGACUGACCUCACGGGGCCUCUGCGAGGACUGAGCGAGCCGGUGUGCCAACGGCGCCCAGCACAGCCAGUGCCCGCAACCAGUAUUGCCAUUGUCACGUCGAUGCCACUGACCACACUAAGACCUGGGGAAGUUCUUCAGUCCUUCGGUGACACAUCCGUCCCCUGGGAUGUCCACCCCUCCCCUCAGCAUACAGUUAUUCUUAUCUUUUAAAGACUUUUUUAUUACAUCAACAAACAAUUAUUGAGCACCACUGUGUUCGGGGGCUCUACCUGGUCCUGGAGAUGUGACAGCCAACAAAACAGAAACCCCUCUGUUCUCAGGACUCGGGUCCGUGUCCGUGGAGCGGGGAAUGUGAGGUCGUUUCAGAGUUAUGGGGGCUCCGAGGGGAAUACAGCAGAGAGUGUGACCGAGGGAGCCUGGGAGGGCCGCUGAGGAGGCGACAUUAGAACAGAGACCUCAACCAAGAGACGACGCCAGCGGGCAGGGUGUGGGGCACCACGGGCGCAGAGGCGGGGCGCGGGGAGCCGGGGCGGGUUCGGGGUCGGCCCGGCCAGCGCGGCGGGGGUGCGGGGCAGGGGGCUCAGGGGGCUCGGGGGGCUCGGAGGGCGGGCACCAGCCCCCAGCCCGCGCCAGCCCCGCACCCCGCUCUGCCCGCCAGCAGCCGGCCUGGACCUGACCUGCACCUGCUCCCGGCGUCGUCGCGGAGGGCCCGGCCCCGAGGCGCCGGUGAGCCCAGGGGCCCGGGUCAGACCCCACGUGGGCCUCCGCCUCCUGCAGGCCCCGGGCUCUGGCGUCUGCAGCUCAGAGCCUCAGUGUCCCCACCUGUGAGGCGGGCACGCGGCUGCCUCGCGGAGGGGUCAGAGCGGGGAGGAGGGGCUCCGGCCCCAGAACCUGUCCCGCGCUGAGCCGACCCUGCAAGAGGAGAAGCAUCCAGGCAUCCCCGGGGACCAGCUGCGCGUGCACAGCGGGAUCAAGAGCCAGGACGCGGCAGCUGAGGAGGUGAAAUGGGGGCGCUGCACAGCGCCUGCGUGAGUGUGAGCAAUGACCGCAGCCCGCCCUGUGGACGGGCCAGGCUCUCAGCCCCACUGCGCAGACGGAGAAACUGAGGCCCGAGAGGGGAGGAGCGCGGCCCAGGCGUCCGGCAGGGGAGUGGCAGAGAUGCGACUGGAGCCCGGGCGGCUCGCAGGGCCCCGGGUGCGGGGGUCUGGGGGCCGGGACGGCGGUCAAACGCAGAUGUUUACGGCAUGUUGGGCCCCCACCUCCGGAAAGCAGCGGGCCUGGGGUUGCAUCAGAAGCGGGUGCGACCCCUCUCCAGCCUCCGCUCGCUGGGAGUCAUGACCCGCGCGGUCACUACGCCCACCUCCCCGCUUUCAUCAGGUUCCGGAGCUGCCGGCGGUAAUUAACCUUCCCGGCUCCCUCUGAAGUCGGCACUGCGGGCAGACGUGUUAUUAAACCCAUUUUCAAGGUGGGUAAACUGAGGCAGAGCCCUCCGUGGCCUGGAAGCCUGUCGUACCCCAUGACUCAGCAGCUAAAUCAGCCUCCGCUUUCUUCCCACAGGAAGCAGAGGGCCGGCCCCCAGAUGCCCCGCACCCUGAGGGCAGAGCUGCAGGCGGGGGAGCUGGCAGGUCCUGGACACCCCUCGUUCCUGCCCCCUCACCUCUCAGAAGCACAGGAGCACGGGCUUGGGAGCCAGAUGGAAGAGACUGGGAUCUGCUUCUGCUGUGUGACCCUGGGCAAGUCCCUGCCCUUCUCUGUGCCUCAGUUUCCUCCUUGGUAAAACAAGGAUGAUCAGAUCCACUUCUUGGGUUUGUCUGGAGCGAAAAGCACCCAGCUUACCUCUGACAUAUGUCCUCUCCCUCCCCGUGCUCUGGCCAUGCCAGCUUCCUUGCUGUUCCUUGAACACACGACCCACUUCCCACCUCAGGGCCUUUGCAUGUGAAGUGCCCUCGGCCUGGCGUGUCCUUCCUUCACAUCUCCCCAAGGCUGGCUCCUUCUCAUCUUUCUUGGCUCACGUAUCACCUCCUCAACCUACAGUGCCCCCCUCCCCCUGUUUUAUUUUCAUGAAGCGCUUGUGAACAUAACUCAUUAUUUACCUGGCCUGUUUCCUUGUCGGCUCCAGGCAGGGGUUUGGGGCUGUUCCAUUCACAGUGUAUUCCCAGGGCUCCGCUCAGUGUCAGGCACACAGUAGGUGCUCGAGAACAAUUGCUUUCCCCACCUCUCUCCUCGUUAGCUCCAAGUUGAGCAUGAGCUGGCUGUGUGACCCUGGGAACUGCUUUCCCGGGGGGUGGCCUGGGCACCAUCCUCCUGAAGGACUCAGGGAGCCUUGAAAUGCCCGGACCUCAGGCUCGUGCCUCCCCAGGCGACAGGGUGGGGAGCAAGCAGGUAGAGGAGGGGUGACCAGAGCCCCCUGGUGCGACCCGCUGUCCUGCGGCUCCGCCUCCUCCCCUGGGGCCCGGGCUUUAAGGACUCACUGUGGGCAGGUCCUCACCGCCAGCCGCCCCCUCCCUUGGCACGUCUGUCAGCGCCCUUGGGGGAAAGAAUUUGGAAAGGGGAGGAAGAGAAAGGAAGAAAGCCGCCACGAGGGGAUGGUUCUCACACCUGUGUAAAUAAUUUGUCAUCUUAAAACUCGUCAAAUAUGCUCACCUUUAAUGCCUGCUUCUUGGGCUUGUUUUCCUUGGCAAGGCCCCCACGGGAGUGGAAUUUCGGCCCAAGGGAGCCCAAUUGUCAUCUUCUAAGCAUGUUCCCGGGCCGCAGGCUGAGGAGGGCUCUGGCUGAUGCUCCACUUCCGUCCCCAGAAGUUCCAGAACGUUCCUGGGAUUUAUGGAGCAGUUGCCAGUUCUGGAAGCUGUCCCAGAGUUCUGGAAUGUUGGAAUUCAAGCAGCCUCCUGCCCAUUUUCCAGAAGGGGAACAUGAAGCCCAGAGGGGGGAAGGGGUUGGCCUGAGGUCACACAGCAUGCUGGGAUGAGUUAGACUUUCCCAGGAAAAGAUGGCAAGUUACGGACAGGUCAGUGCCCUGUUACACCUGAAUUUUCUACCGGAGAACUUCCUCCUCCCCCAUGUCAGUCCCUGAGGUUGGGUGGGGUGUCCCGGGACCCUGUCUCCAGGGGUGGGCACAUGCCCAAGUCUGGCCCAGCGACUCGCCUGGGGAUGGACACAUGCUAAACCCGCCCAAGGAAAGUGGAUCCUGGGAACUCUGCGAAGGACAUGCAGCGUUUCCGUUGGACUGAGAGAGCCAGUGAAAGCCCGGAGCGUUGGGGGUGUCACAGGGAAAAGCCUGCCUGACAGAGAUCAGCACAGGGCUGAACAGGGCUUGAACCCCUGGAUCUAGCCAUACCUGAAGUCACACACCCUUGGACUUUUCAGUUUCGUGAGCUGCUGCAUUUCCCAUUUUUGCCUGAAAACAGUUUGGGCUGGUUUUCUGUCACUUGCAUACAAAAGGUUCUGACUGACCGUGGGCCUGGAGGAGGGGAAGGGACGAGGGUCUGGGCAGAGGAGGUAACAUGCAUAGUGACCCCAAAGCAGCAACGGCAAGGGACUUGCAAGUGACGGGGAGAAGAAGGAGGAGGCCCCCCAGGGGAGUUUAGGAUGGGUCGGGUGGUCCAGGUGGGAGAAGGGAGUAACUCCAGCAGAAGGAGCGACCAAUGCGAAAGCUUGGAGGGGUGACUAGGUAGUGCCGAGGGACGCAGAGACGCAAACGGCAAAAGUGAGUGCCCUCCUCUGAACUGCACCAGCUAAAUGUGGGCUCCUCUGCUUUGGGAGCUGCGCCCUCCCAGUGCCGCGCCCGUGUCCCUGCCGUGCCCGCCAGCACGCUGUCUCAGACACGUGAGUGCUCUCCCAGUGGGCGAUGGGCGCCCCCGGGGCUGCGUGUCACGGUUUCGCAGGGCGCAGGGACAGAGCACCAGCUGUCGUCCGGGCGCGUGGUGGGUUCUUCCCCUUGCGAAUCUGCCACAGUCCUUCCUUUACGCCAAGGACAGUCUCCGCGUGGCGCUGACCUGUGUCUAACACCAAAUACCUGCUGAUCUUUCUGGAAAGGAGCAGGUCUCGGGCCCCCUGCCUUCGGCACACGGUCGUGUCUAGCAAGACUCUUGGGAGCUUUGUGUGGGGCUGUGCCACACUCCACAGACGCGCUCUGCUUGAUGCACCUUGAACGCUAGCCUGACUUCUGUCACCAUGGGUCAGUGGCACCUGUUUUUGGACUUUAGAUCUGAUGUGUUUCCGGAAUGUCAUGGAAGUGGAGUCCUGCAGGGCAUUGCCUUUCUUCACUCAGCAUCGCGGUUUUGAGAUGUGUUCAUUUCGCUGUGUGUUCUCAGCACGUUUUUCAGUAACAUUCCUUGUUAUCACUGAGCAGCGUUCCAGCGUAUGGACGUACCGCAGCCUGCGUACCCGUUCACCACGUGAGGGAUAUUUGGACUGUUUCCAGUGUUUAGUGAUAUAAUUAAAGCCACUAUGAACAUUUGCAAACAGGUUGUCACGUGAACAUAAUUUUUCUUUAUCUUGGGGAAAGGCUUAGGGGUCAAACUGCUAUGUCAUGCGGUCAAGUACAUGUUUGACUUACUCAGAAACCGCUAACCUGUGUCUGUACCAUUUUGCAUUGCCACCAGCAAUGGGCGAAAGUUUCAGUUGCUUCUCAUCCUCGCCAGCACUUGGUAUUGUCAAUUUUAAAAAAAUUUUAGCCAUCUCAUAGGUGUAUACCGGGAUGACGUCGUGAUGUUAAUUUGCGUUUCCCUGCUGACUAAUGAUGUUGAGCGUCUUUUUACGGGCUUAUUUGCCAUCCGUAUAUGUUCUUUGGUGUAGUAGUGUCUGAUCAAACUUUUUGUCCAUUUAAAAAAUCAGAUUGUUUUCUUAUUCGUGGCCUGGAGGGUUCUUUCUGUAUUCUGGAUCCGAGUCCGUCCUUCGUCAGAUGUGUGAUCUGCGAAUAUUUCCUCCCAGUCUGCCGCUUGUCCUUUUGCCCCCUUAACGGGGAGACCCUGAUAACAUCGUUGGUUUUCAUCAUGAGGAUUUUUCUGGUUAUCUUUGAUUUGCGGCAAGUGUUCUUUGCUUUUUUCAGUUCUAGCGAUAAUAUCAAAUGUUUCCCUUCUAAACAAAUUUAUUUAAAUAGAAAGUUAAGUCAACUUGAAGAAAAACAUUAAGUAACAGUAGGUCUGGAAUGCAAACCGCACAAAAAUCGGGAAGGCCGUUGCUUGAAUAACCAAAGUGCGGACAGUUCCCAUUCGUUCUCUCAACGGUUAUCAACCGAGCGCCUGCCCUGUGCUGGGCCCCGUCCUGGGUGCUGGGGCACAGUGACAAACAAGAGGAAGGGUUUCUGCCCUUUGGGUCAUGGUUUCCCUACCGCAAGCUCCUCGUCAUCCUUCAGAAGCCAACUUGAAAGGCCCUUCCCUGGAAAACUCACGGCACUGUGUUGCAAUUUCCUCUCCCUGCGAGCGUCUUCCCGGGAGGGGAUGUGUCCGGCAGCCUCUGACCCGGUCACGGAGAGCCUGGUGCACAGGUUCUCAGCAAAUAGCGCCUCACGACAUAGACGUGGUCGUGGGACCCGAAGCCCCUCCCCACUGCAGUCUGGCCCCAUGCAGAGCAAGGUCAUUCUCCUGGGCCUCCCCUUCCACUGACAAAGACACCAAGAGAAGACGCCUCCCGGAUCCACCACCUUCAGCUCCCCUCCGAGCUCUCCAUCCAGUGCCCUCCGAGCUCUCCAUCCAGUGCCCGAGGACGCCUUCCCGAGUGACUCAUCGAUCCCACGAACGCAUCCCAGGCAUCCCUUCACUCUGGCCCGGCCCGGGGGACCGUGUCACCCCAGCCUCCCACCACCCCUCCUCCAGCACACCAGCCUGCUCCUGUUCCUCCAACACUCUGAGCUCACUCCCACCCCCGGCCUUUGCAUAUGCUGUCCCUGCUAUCUGGAACCCUCUGUCUCUAGCUUUUUGCAUGGCUGGAUUCUUCUCCACAUUCCAUUCUGAGCUUAAACGACCCCUCCACAGAGGCCCCCCCCAGGCCAAUACUGUCAAACACUCCUUCUACUUUUUAUCCCAUCAUUCCGUUUAUCUUCUUUGUAGCCCCAAAGACUCUCAUUCCAGUUUAUUUCUGUGUUCACUUGUUUCUUGUCUGUGUCCCCCAUUUGAGUGUCAGCACCAUGAGGGAUUCUGGUCUGUCCUCUUGGUCUCCCCAGUGCCUCGCCCAGCACACAGUAGGUCCUCAAUAAACAUUUGUUGAAUGAAUGAAUGAAUGAGGGAGGCCAUGAGCUCUCCCUUCUCAAGACGCACUCAAAGCAGAGUUAGGCCGUCAGCCCAUGUGUCAGGCUCAUUGCCUGAACGGUGGGACCACAGGUCCUCUUCCUGGCCCCCUCUGGCCCCUGUGCCCAGCCCAGUGCUGAGCACUGCCUGCCAAGCCCACCAGCCUUGUGUCCUGCCAGCUGCCCAACCUGGGCCGAGAGGUCCUCCAUCCUCGGAGCCAGCCUGCGACAAAUUGUUCAUGAAUGGUGGGCCGUGGUUGGGGCUGGCGGCGGCUGUGUGGGGUAUGGGGACCCCGACUGAGACCCCAUCAACUCACAGUGUGCAAGAGUCAUUUCAGCUCCCUUCCCAUCCUCCUGAUGGUGCCACAGGGAAGGAAAGGCUGACCGGGGCUUGUGUGUCUUCACCACUUUCCUCCCCCUGUUCUUUCUUUUUAGGAAACAGCAGCCCCAGCGCCAAGCCCCCAGCGGUAGCGGUUUCUGGUUUUGUUUUGCCCCUUUGUGUAAUUGGCUGAAUGUCUCCAAUUUCCAGUGAGCGCCUUGGGUUGGGUUUCCCUGGAAGCAGAACCCUAAGAGAACAAUUUGAAAGCAAGCGGUUCAUUUGGGAGGCGACCCCAGAAAACACUGGUAGGGGAGUGGGGAAGUGAGCGCAGCCAGCGCAGAGCGUUAUGGAGAAGUAAGCGCUCCGGGCUGUGGGACUCAGUCCGCUGUGGGACUCUGGGAGAUAGUGUAGACCGUGCCUUCUGAGUCACCCCCCGGGUGGGGCGGGGGUGGCCGGGGAGCAGCGGGAGGUGUCCAUGCUCUCCUGCCGGCUUUGAUUGAGGGCGGCUCCCUGGAGUGAUGCUUCCCAGCACUUCCAGCUGCCACCCAGGGCCGGGGCCUGGGGGCUGAGAGAAGCCGCCUGGUCCUGGACUUCUGUUUCUAGGGGGGUUUCUGAUUAGUUUCAAUCUGUACUUGUGAUUGGUCUAUUCAGAGUCUCUGUUUCUUCUUGAUUCAGAUUUGGGAGGUUGUACGCGUCUAAGAAUUUAUCCAUUUCUCUAGAUUAUCCAAUUUGUUGACAUACGGGUUUGCGUAGUCUUCUCUUAGGAUCCUUUGCAUUUCUGUGGUGUCUGUUGUGAUGUCUCCUCUCUCAUUUCUGAUUUCGUUUGUUUGAGCCGUCCCCUCCCUCUUUUUUUCUUAGAGAGUCUAGCUAAGGGCUUGUCAAUUUUGUUUAUCUUUUCAAAGAACCAGCUCUUAGUUUCACUGAUCCUUUCUAUUGUUUUUUGUCUCUAUUUUAUUUCAGUUCUUAUUUUAAUUAUUUCCUUCCUUCUACUGACUUUGGGCUCUGUUUGUUCUUCUUUUUCUAGCUCUUUUAGGUAAAGUGUUAGAUUGUUUAUUUGAGAUUUUUCUUGUUUUUGAGGUAGGCCCGUAUUACUAUAAACAUCCCUCUUAGUACUGCUUUUGCUGCAUCCCAUAAGUUUUGAUAUGUUGUGUUUUCAUUUUCAUUUGUCUCCAGGUAUUUUUUUUAUUUCUCCUUUGAUUUAUUUAUUGAUCCAAUAGUUGUUCAGUAGCAUGUUAUUUAGUCUCCACUUUCUCAAAAAAUUAAAAAUAGAAAUACCAUAUGAUCCACUAUUCCACUUUUGAGUAUUUAUCCAAAGAACAUGAAAUCAGUAAUUGAAAAGCUCUAUCCACCCUGUGUUCAUUGCAGCAUUAUCACAAUAGCCAAGACUUGGAAGCAACCCAAGUGCCCAUCAACAGAUGAAUGGAUGAAGAAGACAUGGUGUGUAUGUAUAUAUACUCCUCAGCCAUAAGAAAGGACGAAGUCAUGCCAUUUGUGACAACAUGGCUGGACCUUGAGGGUAUUAUGCUGAGUGAAAUAAGACAGAGAAAGACAAACACCGUAUGCUCUCACUCAUGUGUGGAAGAUACACACGUGGACAAGGAGAAGAGAUUGGUGGUUACCAGAGGGGAAUGGGGUGGGGGGAAGGCAAAAGGGGUGAAGGGGCACAUAUGUAUGGUGAUGGAUUAAAACUAGGCUAUUGGUGGUGAACACCAUGCUGUCUACACAGAAGCUGAAAUACAAUGAUGUACAUCUGGAAUGUGCACAAUGUUAUCGACCAACGUGACCUCAAGAAAAUAAUAAUGAUGAUAAUAAUUAAUAAUAAUGAUAGGAGGGCAGGUGCUGACAGGCGGCUGGAAUCUGGUCUGUGUUCAUGAAAAGUGAGCGGGAGGGGAGAAGGGUGAGGCACUGACAGCAAACGCCUCACCUUUCAUACUGGUUUCUCAUUUAAAGCAAGAAGAAAAUGUUUUCUAUAAGUUUAAAUAAAACUUUACAACUCAAGUUGACUUAGAGAAAGAGAGCGUGUACACAGUGUACGGGGGAAACAUGAAGUGGCAAAUGCUGCUAUUUUUAAGGGUGUUCAAAGCCCUUAACAGGCAGACAGGGCUCCUUUGUGACCCACCAGGACUGGUGUGUUGGGGGUGGUGGAAAGGCCCCCCGUUCCUCCCAGCUUGCCUUCCCCACACCCAGCCACACUGCCCCGGGUUCCUGGGAGCCUUGGAAAUGGGCCAUGAAGCUUGAAGCCCUUUGUGGCUCGGGGUCUGUCAUUAGCAUCUCGAGGCCUGUCUGUUAGCAGUCUCAUGAAAGAGGAAAUGUGCGAAGAAAAUAGCCAAGACAAUUCUGAACAGGAAGAGUCAAGAGGGAGGACUUGUCUAGACAUUAGAAUGUGUGGCAGAGGUACAGAAAAUAAAACUGCAUGGUGUUGGCACAGAAGUGGGCAAACACAUCAAGGGAAUAGGAGAGAGAGCCCAGCACUGACCCAGACGUCACCUGUCCUGCCCAACGGAGGUGAACGGACUUGAAAAGGGGAGGCGUCAGUUAAUGUGGAAUUCUCUGGAUUCUGUCUGGGCUGGGGCAGUGGCUGCCCGACAGGCUCCCCGUCUUUUGGGCCCUUCCCGCUGACACACCUGCAAAGGCUCUAGGGAGACUAACCCUCAAGGACCACACCGACCCCAUGUCCACCCAGGAAAUCUCCAACACAAGAUGAGUUGGCUAACAGGUGACACCCGGGAGGAUGUCACCUGUGGUUCUUUGAUUGUUCUGAGCACCUGGGAAAAGCCCCACUUGGGUGCUGGCAGGCCUUGACAUCCCCCAGAACUUGCUCACCUCCUGUUACAAGGCGGAGCGGGCCUCGGUCCGGAGCCCUGAGCAGGCCUCGGAGUCCAGCUGGAAUUAACACCAUCGCUGUGAGCAACAUUCUGGUUACUUCCCACCGGUUGACAAAAAGAGGAUCGAUAAUGGAGAGUGCGAAGGAGACGGUGGGAAAAUGGCCACACUGAGACCGCUGGUGGGAGUGUAAGCUGGGACGGCCUCUCAGGAAGACAGUGU
Equus caballus (horse) is the source of this 10175-nucleotide long non-coding RNA. Lineage: Eukaryota; Metazoa; Chordata; Mammalia; Perissodactyla; Equidae. The record is from Ensembl.